RNAcentral lists this ribosomal RNA (628 nucleotides) under Salmonella enterica subsp. enterica serovar Panama. RNAcentral's name for it is "bacterial SSU rRNA". It matches the Rfam family "Bacterial small subunit ribosomal RNA", at positions 69 to 690 of the family's 1533-position model. Lineage: Bacteria; Pseudomonadati; Pseudomonadota; Gammaproteobacteria; Enterobacterales; Enterobacteriaceae. The record is from RNAcentral.
CAGGAAGCAGCUUGCUGCUUUGCUGACGAGUGGCGGACGGGUGAGUAAUGUCUGGGAAACUGCCUGAUGGAGGGGGAUAACUACUGGAAACGGUGGCUAAUACCGCAUAACGUCGCAAGACCAAAGAGGGGGACCUUCGGGCCUCUUGCCAUCAGAUGUGCCCAGAUGGGAUUAGCUUGUUGGUGAGGUAACGGCUCACCAAGGCGACGAUCCCUAGCUGGUCUGAGAGGAUGACCAGCCACACUGGAACUGAGACACGGUCCAGACUCCUACGGGAGGCAGCAGUGGGGAAUAUUGCACAAUGGGCGCAAGCCUGAUGCAGCCAUGCCGCGUGUAUGAAGAAGGCCUUCGGGUUGUAAAGUACUUUCAGCGGGGAGGAAGGUGUUGUGGUUAAUAACCGCAGCAAUUGACGUUACCCGCAGAAGAAGCACCGGCUAACUCCGUGCCAGCAGCCGCGGUAAUACGGAGGGUGCAAGCGUUAAUCGGAAUUACUGGGCGUAAAGCGCACGCAGGCGGUCUGUCAAGUCGGAUGUGAAAUCCCCGGGCUCAACCUGGGAACUGCAUUCGAAACUGGCAGGCUUGAGUCUUGUAGAGGGGGGUAGAAUUCCAGGUGUAGCGGUGAAAUGCG